AUGGCUUCCGGGGCCGCGGCCGCCGCACGUCGCCUUCUGCUGUUGCGCCACCGCCGCCACCACCUCGUUCCCAAUCACCACUUCUCUUCCUCCUCGGCGGACGAAUUGCUGGACGGGGGCCGCGUCAAGAUCUUCGAUCGCGAUCUGAAGCGCCGACACCGGGACCGGGCGGCGUGGGCGAUGCGGGAAACUGAUCCACUGGUAGACGCGGUCGCAGAUAACCUCCUCGACCGCCUCGAGGACUGCAGGAAGGCGUUCCCCUCGGCACUCUGCCUCGGCGGUUCGGCUGGCGCCGUCCGCCGGUCGCUUCGCGGCCGCGGUGGAAUCGAGAAAUUGACCAUGAUGGACAUGUCGGUAGACAUGGUGAACAAGUGGCGGGAGUUGGAGAGUGCUACUGACGACGGCCCCGAGAUGAACUUUAUCGUUGGAGAUGAAGAGUAUCUUCCUAUCAAAGAGAACUCCCAGGAUUUGAUAAUGAGCUGUCUUGGACUUCAUUGGACAAAUGAUCUACCUGGAGCAAUGAUACAGUGUAGGUUGGCGUUGAAGCCUGAUGGCCUUUUUCUUGCAGCAAUUCUUGGCGGGGAGACUCUGAAGGAACUAAGAAUUGCAUGCACAAUUGCUCAAAUGGAACGUGAGGGAGGCAUCAGUCCUCGAAUGUCGCCAUUAGCACAAGUCCGUGAUGCAGGAAACCUUUUGUCAAGGGCAGGCUUCGCCCUUCCAGGAGUUGAUGUAGAUCGAUAUACAGUCAAGUACAAUAGUGCUCUUGAACUUGUGGAACAUCUUAGAGCAAUGGCAGAAACAAAUGCUCUCUUUCAAAGAAGCCCUAUAUUAAAGAGAGAUACAGCACUAGCUACUGCAGCCAUUUACCAGUCAAUGUUUGGGUUAGAAGAUGGAACCAUUCCAGCAACCUUUCAGGUAAUUUACAUGACUGGGUGGAAGGAGCAUUCAUCACAGCAAAAGCCUAAGAGAAGGGGUUCUGCCACUGUAUCAUUUGGUGACAUAAGGAAACAAUUUGGUUCCAACCAAGACUGA
This 1032-nucleotide ribosomal RNA is filed under the name Triticum aestivum (bread wheat). RNAcentral describes it as "partial small subunit ribosomal RNA". The record is from RNAcentral. Lineage: Eukaryota; Viridiplantae; Streptophyta; Magnoliopsida; Poales; Poaceae.